Non-coding RNA from Pelobates cultripes (western spadefoot toad), 2163 nucleotides. NCBI's taxonomy places the organism in Eukaryota, Metazoa, Chordata, Amphibia, Anura, Pelobatidae. The record is from the annotation of a GenBank genome assembly.
GAGAUAUUGAUAAUUUGAUUCUGAUCUGUAAUUACUUCCUGUAACAAGAACCCCAGUUUUACAAUUAUAAUGGCUGCAUAUAACUAUGAACAAAGACUAUUCGUUUGUUUUGCCAGUUCUACUUCUCCCUUCAAAACGUAGCCUCGUCUCCUUAUUGAAAGGAAACUUGCUCAGCUUAAUCGCUAGCUCUUUUAAGAGCUCUGCCUCUCUACUGCUCCAAGGAUUCAGCGGAUGGGAUCUCGCCUCCAACGGCAGAUACCCCUUGUAUCAAGAUUGUCAUUAGACUAAAAUAACUUUGUAAUAAUAGUUCAUGCCAUCUGUAAUCCUAUGAGCAGGAGGUAUAACAGGAUGUAUUCCUCUUGGAACUAGUUUUAGUGAUACAUAGGAUUCUAAACUCUUGAUUUCCCACCAAGUACUACUUUGUUUUUUUAUAUGAUUUUUUUGCACUUGAAAGAACGUUUGAUUGAUAUUGGCUUGUGAAUUUGUGACAUUUAUUAACAAAGGAGCCAUGGGGAAUACAUUUGAAGUGUCCUGUUGUCAUUGUUCUUUAUUGACAACAGACAUGAGCAGGUUCGUAAUGAGGGAGCCCAGAGAUAUGAAAAUAGAUUGUACGAUAAUAUAACACUGCUUAGCAGUUAAAAUAGAACCUUUUCCUCUGUAAACUCACAAUAAACGGAAAUAAACAUUCUAGGUAAACAUAAAGGCAACAUGUACACUGUUUAUGGGUUUAUUAGAGAAUUUUAAACGUUACACAAAUAGGAAAUACAAACACAGGAUCCCUGAUUCAUUUAUUAAACUCCUGUAAGAGGAAUCACACAUAUCUGCUCACCGUAUAGUAUGAGAGCUGCCUGCAAAGGUAACACUGUCAGCUCAGAAGCCAAACUAGGAUCCUUGACAGGGAUCUUCUCUCUGUACUGGAAGGGACCCUAGUCAGGCACUUCACACUGUGUGGGUCCAGUGCGCACUGUGACAGUCUCUAUUCUAAACAGUGCUUGCUGUGACUGUCUAGUCUAAGCAUUGCUCGCUAUGACGGUCUCUAGUUUGAGCAGUGCACGCUGUGACGGUCUCUAGUCUGAGCAGUGCACACUGUGACGGUCUCUAGUCUGAGCAGGUCACGUUGUGACAGUCUCUAGUCUGAGCAGUGCACACUGUGACGGUUUCCAGUCUAAGCCGUGCAUGCUGUGACGGUCUCGAGUCUGAGCAGGUCACGCUGUGACGGUCUCUGGUCUGAGCAGGUCACGCUGUGACGGUCUCUGGUCUGAGCAGUGCACGCUGUGAAGGUCUCUGGUCUGAGCAGUGCACGCUGUGAACGUCUCUGGUCUGAGCAGUGCAUGCUGUGACAGUAUCGAGUCUGAGCAGGUCACGCUGUGACGGUCUCUGGUCUGAGCAGGUCACGCUGUGACGGUCUCUGGUCUGAGCAGUGCACGCUGUGAAGGUCUCUGGUCUGAGCAGUGCACGCUGUGAAGGUCUCUGGUCUGAGCAGUGCAUGCUGUGACAGUAUCGAGUCUGAGCAGGUCACACUGUGACGGUCUCUGGUCUGAGCAGGUCACACUGUGAUGGUCUCUAGUCUGAGCAGGUCACGCUGUGACGGUCUCUAGUCUGAGCAGGUCACACUGUGACAGUCUCUAUUCUGAGGUCACGCUGUGACGGUCUCUAGUCUGAGCAGGUCACACUGUGACGUCUCUAUUCUGAGCAGGUCACACUGUGACGGUCUCUAUUCUGAGCAGGUCACGCUGUGAAGGUCUUUAGUCUGAGCUGUGACUGUCUCUAGUCUGAGCAGGUCACACUGUGACGGUCUCUAUUCUAAACAGUGCUUGCUGUGACUGUCUAGUCUAAGCAUUGCUCGCUAUGACGGUCUCUAGUUUGAGCAGUGCACGCUGUGACGGUCUCUAGUCUGAGCAGUGCACACUGUGACGGUCUCUAGUCUGAGCAGGUCACGUUGUGACAGUCUCUAGUCUGAGCAGUGCACGCUGUGACGGUUUCCAGUCUAAGCCGUGCAUGCUGUGACGGUCUCGAGUCUGAGCAGGUCACGCUGUGACGGUCUCUGGUCUGAGCAGGUCACGCUGUGACGGUCUCUGGUCUGAGCAGUGCACACUGUGAAGGUCUCUGGUCUGAGCAGUGCACGCUGUGAACGUCUCUGGUCUGAGCAGUGCAUGCUGUGAC